UUAAGCGACUAAGCGUACACGGUGGAUGCCCUGGCAGUCAGAGGCGAUGAAGGACGUGCUAAUCUGCGAUAAGCGUCGGUGAGGUGAUAUGAACCGUUAUAACCGGCGAUUUCCGAAUGGGGAAACCCAGUGUGUUUCGACACACUAUCAUUAACUGAAUCCAUAGGUUAAUGAGGCGAACCGGGGGAACUGAAACAUCUAAGUACCCCGAGGAAAAGAAAUCAACCGAGAUUCCCCCAGUAGCGGCGAGCGAACGGGGAGGAGCCCAGAGCCUGAAUCAGUGUGUGUGUUAGUGGAAGCGUCUGGAAAGGCGCGCGAUACAGGGUGACAGCCCCGUACACAAAAAUGCACAUGCUGUGAGCUCGAUGAGUAGGGCGGGACACGUGGUAUCCUGUCUGAAUAUGGGGGGACCAUCCUCCAAGGCUAAAUACUCCUGACUGACCGAUAGUGAACCAGUACCGUGAGGGAAAGGCGAAAAGAACCCCGGCGAGGGGAGUGAAAAAGAACCUGAAACCGUGUACGUACAAGCAGUGGGAGCCUCUUAAUGGGGUGACUGCGUACCUUUUGUAUAAUGGGUCAGCGACUUAUAUUCUGUAGCAAGGUUAACCGAAUAGGGGAGCCGAAGGGAAACCGAGUCUUAACUGGGCGUUAAGUUGCAGGGUAUAGACCCGAAACCCGGUGAUCUAGCCAUGGGCAGGUUGAAGGUUGGGUAACACUAACUGGAGGACCGAACCGACUAAUGUUGAAAAAUUAGCGGAUGACUUGUGGCUGGGGGUGAAAGGCCAAUCAAACCGGGAGAUAGCUGGUUCUCCCCGAAAGCUAUUUAGGUAGCGCCUCGUGAAUUCAUCUCCGGGGGUAGAGCACUGUUUCGGCAAGGGGGUCAUCCCGACUUACCAACCCGAUGCAAACUGCGAAUACCGGAGAAUGUUAUCACGGGAGACACACGGCGGGUGCUAACGUCCGUCGUGAAGAGGGAAACAACCCAGACCGCCAGCUAAGGUCCCAAAGUCAUGGUUAAGUGGGAAACGAUGUGGGAAGGCCCAGACAGCCAGGAUGUUGGCUUAGAAGCAGCCAUCAUUUAAAGAAAGCGUAAUAGCUCACUGGUCGAGUCGGCCUGCGCGGAAGAUGUAACGGGGCUAAACCAUGCACCGAAGCUGCGGCAGCGACACUAUGUGUUGUUGGGUAGGGGAGCGUUCUGUAAGCCUGUGAAGGUGGCCUGUGAGGGUUGCUGGAGGUAUCAGAAGUGCGAAUGCUGACAUAAGUAACGAUAAAGCGGGUGAAAAGCCCGCUCGCCGGAAGACCAAGGGUUCCUGUCCAACGUUAAUCGGGGCAGGGUGAGUCGACCCCUAAGGCGAGGCCGAAAGGCGUAGUCGAUGGGAAACAGGUUAAUAUUCCUGUACUUGGUGUUACUGCGAAGGGGGGACGGAGAAGGCUAUGUUGGCCGGGCGACGGUUGUCCCGGUUUAAGCGUGUAGGCUGGUUUUCCAGGCAAAUCCGGAAAAUCAAGGCUGAGGCGUGAUGACGAGGCACUACGGUGCUGAAGCGACAAAUGCCCUGCUUCCAGGAAAAGCCUCUAAGCAUCAGGUAACAUCAAAUCGUACCCCAAACCGACACAGGUGGUCAGGUAGAGAAUACCAAGGCGCUUGAGAGAACUCGGGUGAAGGAACUAGGCAAAAUGGUGCCGUAACUUCGGGAGAAGGCACGCUGAUAUGUAGGUGAAGCGACUUGCUCGUGGAGCUGAAAUCAGUCGAAGAUACCAGCUGGCUGCAACUGUUUAUUAAAAACACAGCACUGUGCAAACACGAAAGUGGACGUAUACGGUGUGACGCCUGCCCGGUGCCGGAAGGUUAAUUGAUGGGGUUAGCGGCAACGCGAAGCUCUUGAUCGAAGCCCCGGUAAACGGCGGCCGUAACUAUAACGGUCCUAAGGUAGCGAAAUUCCUUGUCGGGUAAGUUCCGACCUGCACGAAUGGCGUAAUGAUGGCCAGGCUGUCUCCACCCGAGACUCAGUGAAAUUGAACUCGCUGUGAAGAUGCAGUGUACCCGCGGCAAGACGGAAAGACCCCGUGAACCUUUACUAUAGCUUGACACUGAACAUUGAGCCUUGAUGUGUAGGAUAGGUGGGAGGCUUUGAAGUGUGGACGCCAGUCUGCAUGGAGCCGACCUUGAAAUACCACCCUUUAAUGUUUGAUGUUCUAACGUUGGCCCGUAAUCCGGGUUGCGGACAGUGUCUGGUGGGUAGUUUGACUGGGGCGGUCUCCUCCUAAAGAGUAACGGAGGAGCACGAAGGUUGGCUAAUCCUGGUCGGACAUCAGGAGGUUAGUGCAAUGGCAUAAGCCAGCUUGACUGCGAGCGUGACGGCGCGAGCAGGUGCGAAAGCAGGUCAUAGUGAUCCGGUGGUUCUGAAUGGAAGGGCCAUCGCUCAACGGAUAAAAGGUACUCCGGGGAUAACAGGCUGAUACCGCCCAAGAGUUCAUAUCGACGGCGGUGUUUGGCACCUCGAUGUCGGCUCAUCACAUCCUGGGGCUGAAGUAGGUCCCAAGGGUAUGGCUGUUCGCCAUUUAAAGUGGUACGCGAGCUGGGUUUAGAACGUCGUGAGACAGUUCGGUCCCUAUCUGCCGUGGGCGCUGGAGAACUGAGGGGGGCUGCUCCUAGUACGAGAGGACCGGAGUGGACGCAUCACUGGUGUUCGGGUUGUCAUGCCAAUGGCACUGCCCGGUAGCUAAAUGCGGAAGAGAUAAGUGCUGAAAGCAUCUAAGCACGAAACUUGCCCCGAGAUGAGUUCUCCCUGAGACUUAGAGUCUCCUGAAGGAACGUUGAAGACGACGACGUUGAUAGGCCAGGUGUGUAAGCGCAGCGAUGCGUUGAGCUAACCGGUACUAAUGAACCGUGAGGCUUAACCUU
This 2902-nucleotide ribosomal RNA is filed under the name Escherichia coli. RNAcentral's name for it is "bacterial LSU rRNA". It matches the Rfam family "Bacterial large subunit ribosomal RNA". Lineage: Bacteria; Pseudomonadati; Pseudomonadota; Gammaproteobacteria; Enterobacterales; Enterobacteriaceae. The record is from RNAcentral.